RNAcentral lists this ribosomal RNA (214 nucleotides) under Pichia kudriavzevii. RNAcentral describes it as "partial 26S ribosomal RNA". It matches the Rfam family "Eukaryotic large subunit ribosomal RNA", at positions 63 to 281 of the family's 3401-position model. The record is from RNAcentral. Lineage: Eukaryota; Fungi; Ascomycota; Pichiomycetes; Pichiales; Pichiaceae.
CCCCCCGAGGGCAUGCCUCAGUAGCGGCGAGUGAAGCGGCAAGAGCUCAGAUUUGAAAUCGUGCUUUGCGGCACGAGUUGUAGAUUGCAGGUUGGAGUCUGUGUGGAAGGCGGUGUCCAAGUCCCUUGGAACAGGGCGCCCAGGAGGGUGAGAGCCCCGUGGGAUGCCGGCGGAAGCAGUGAGGCCCUUCUGACGAGUCGAGUUGUUUGGGAAU